CUCUUCUUGUAUUUAUUUGAGGUAUAACCUGCCCAAUGAGUUUUGAAUGGCCGCAGUAUUUUGACUGUGCAAAGGUAGCAUAAUCAAUAGUCUUUUAAUUGGGGGCUGGAAUGAAUGGUUGGACGAGAUAAGAACUAUCUUAAUUUUAUUUUAUUAAAAUUUAAUUUUUAAGUUAAAAAGCUUAAAUAAUUUUAUGGGACGAGAAGACCCUAUAGAGUUUAAUAUUUUUGAUUAAGUCUUUGUUGAAUGAAUAUAAACUAUUUUAGAAAAUAUUUUAUUGGGGUGAUAGAAAGAUAUAUAUAACUCUUUUUAUUUUUAAUUAUUUAUUUAUAUAUUUAUGAUCCACUAUUUGUGAUUAUAAGAUUAAAUUACC
RNAcentral lists this ribosomal RNA (373 nucleotides) under Laxta sp. FL-2014. Its description in RNAcentral is "partial 16S ribosomal RNA". The record is from RNAcentral. Lineage: Eukaryota; Metazoa; Arthropoda; Insecta; Blattodea; Blaberidae.